AUGCAACCCGUCCUCCAAUACGCAUCCGCUACCAUUGUACACCACGCCAUCUGUGAUGGCCUCCUUAUCUUAUCGCGGCAAUCCCAUUACUACAUCUGCAACCCGGCCACCCACAAGUGGGCGUCCAUGCCACAUCCUCCUCAACGACAACCAAACACCAUGGCCGUCAGCCUAGUCGGCUUCUAUCGGCACCACCCAUCUGGAGAACACCGAGUGCUAUGGGUGUCAUACCCAAUAAACGCCGCCGCCAAGGGCGAUGUAGCAGUUGAGUUGCUUGAGUACUUCGUCCUCACAGUGGGAUCGGACCAGCCAAGAUGCAUCCAAUGGCCAGCAGUUUCAGAACAAAGGUUUGUUCCUGCUAUCUGGUCCUACCAAUGCCCACCAAUCCUCCAUCGUGGUAACCUGCAUUGGCUAAUGGAUUUCAACAUAACGGUAUUUGACACCAUAGCUGAGACAUUCCGACAAAUGAGCCGCCCAGCACAACUGGGCGAUUAUGUGUCAUUGUUGGAUACGGGCAACACCCUUGCUUUGUGUCGCACUGAUCAUAACUGUGUCACUUUAGAUGUUUGGGUGUUGCGGGACUAUGAUGCCGAGAUGUGGAUCUUUCAAUACCAGAUUAACUUGUUAGUGAUGGAGGUAUCACCACCGCUUAAUUUGAAGGGGAUAGAGAUUCCUAAAAUGGCUAUGAUCAACGAGCGUGAGCUAUUGAUUGAGCAGUGUCCUUGCCGUCUUUUGCAUUGCGACAUUGAUGGUGUGCUUUUAGGCAAUGUAGAAAGCAAAGAGCACGGGAACUUCUUGACACUUACUAGGCAUUGCCUCCAAGAGAGCAUGAUUUCGCUCCCAUUGUUUGAGACACAAAAGGAAGCUAUGAACAAGGAGCCUCCAUUCGCCUUUGUGCUAUAA
This 903-nucleotide ribosomal RNA is filed under the name Triticum aestivum (bread wheat). RNAcentral's name for it is "partial small subunit ribosomal RNA". Lineage: Eukaryota; Viridiplantae; Streptophyta; Magnoliopsida; Poales; Poaceae. The record is from RNAcentral.